CAUUACAGAGUUCAUGCCCUUAGGGGUAGUCCUCCCACCCGUGAAAUUUAAACCUUUGUUGCUUUGGCGGGCCGCGAGCCCCUUGCUACCUUAUGGUACGUGCCCGCCAGAGACCCAAAUUCUGUAUAUUAGUGUCGUCAGAGUACUAUUUAAUAGUUAAAACUUUCAACAACGGAUCUCUUGGUUCUGGCAUCGAUGAAGAACGCAGCGAAAUGCGAUAAGUAAUGUGAAUUGCAGAAUUUAGUGAAUCAUCGAAUCUUUGAACGCACAUUGCGCCCUAUGGUAUUCCGUAGGGCAUGCCUGUUCGAGCGUCAUUACAACCCUCAAGCUCUGCUUGGUUUUGGGCCUUGCCCUUGGGCAGGCCUCAAAAAAAGUGGCGGCACCUAUAGGUCCUAAGCGUAGUACAUUUUCCGCUAUAGGUAUCCGUAGGCUGUUGGCCAAUAACCUAAAAUUUAUAUUAAGGUUGACCUCGG
This 473-nucleotide ribosomal RNA is filed under the name Chlorociboria campbellensis. RNAcentral's name for it is "eukaryotic LSU rRNA". The stretch from base 161 to 314 matches the Rfam family "5.8S ribosomal RNA". The record is from RNAcentral. Lineage: Eukaryota; Fungi; Ascomycota; Leotiomycetes; Helotiales; Chlorociboriaceae.